CAUUCAGUUGGGCACUCUAAGGGGACUGCCGGUGAUAAGCCGAGAGGAAGGUGGGGAUGACGUCAAGUCCUCAUGGCCCUUACGGGCUGGGCUACACACGUGCUACAAUGGUGGUGACAGUGGGCAGCGAGACCGCGAGGUCGAGCUAAUCUCCAAAAGCCAUCUCAGUUCGGAUUGCACUCUGCAACUCGAGUGCAUGAAGUUGGAAUCGCUAGUAAUCGUGGAUCAGAAUGCCACGGUGAAUACGUUCCCGGGCCUU
RNAcentral lists this ribosomal RNA (259 nucleotides) under Phyllobacterium sp. M. RNAcentral's name for it is "partial 16S ribosomal RNA". It matches the Rfam family "Bacterial small subunit ribosomal RNA", at positions 1122 to 1382 of the family's 1533-position model. The record is from RNAcentral. Lineage: Bacteria; Pseudomonadati; Pseudomonadota; Alphaproteobacteria; Hyphomicrobiales; Phyllobacteriaceae. RNAcentral also lists the same sequence under 1 other name.